RNAcentral lists this ribosomal RNA (414 nucleotides) under uncultured microorganism. RNAcentral's name for it is "bacterial SSU rRNA". It matches the Rfam family "Archaeal small subunit ribosomal RNA", at positions 459 to 872 of the family's 1478-position model. The record is from RNAcentral.
CAGCCGCCGCGGUAAUACCGGCGGCCCGAGUGGCGGCCACUAUUAUUGGGCCUAAAGCGUCCGUAGCCGGGCUGGUAAGUCCCCCGGGAAAUCUGGCGGCUUAACCAUCAGAAUUCCGGGGGAUACUGCCAGCCUAGGGACCGGGAGAGGCCGGGGGUAUUCCCGGAGUAGGGGUGAAAUCCUAUAAUCCCGGGAGGACCACCUGUGGCGAAGGCGCUCGGCUGGAACGCGUCCGACGGUGAGGGACGAAGGCCAGGGGAGCAAACCGGAUUAGAUACCCGGGUAGUCCUGGCUGUAAACGAUGCGGACUUUGUGUCGGACAAGCUAUGAGCUUGUCCGGUGCCGGAGGGAAACCGUUAAGUCCGCCGCCUGGGGAGUACGGCCGCAAGGCUGAAACUUAAAGGAAUUGGCGGG